RNAcentral lists this ribosomal RNA (394 nucleotides) under uncultured bacterium. RNAcentral's name for it is "bacterial SSU rRNA". It matches the Rfam family "Bacterial small subunit ribosomal RNA", at positions 29 to 429 of the family's 1533-position model. The record is from RNAcentral.
AUUGAACGCUGGCGGCAUGCCUUACACAUGCAAGUCGAACGGCAGCGCGGGGCAACCUGGCGGCGAGUGGCGAACGGGUGAGUAAUAUAUCGGAACGUGCCCUGGAGUGGGGGAUAACGCAGCGAAAGUUGCGCUAAUACCGCAUACGAUCUAAGGAUGAAAGCAGGGGACCCGCAAGGGCCUUGCGCGAGAGGAGCGGCCGAUGCCCGAUUAGCUAGNGGCGGGGUAAAAGCCCACCAAGGCGACGAUCGGUAGCUGGUCUGAGAGGACGACCAGCCACACUGGGACUGAGACACGGCCCAGACUCCUACGGGAGGCAGCAGUGGGGAAUUUUGGACAAUGGGGGAAACCCUGAUCCAGCCAUGCCGCGUGUGUGAAGAAGGCCUGGUGUAAG